UACGUAGGACCCAAGCGUUAUCCGGAUUUACUGGGCGUAAAGCGUGUGUAGGCGGCGCAUUAAGUGAGAUGUGAAAUCUGGUGGCUCAACCAUCUAGACUAUAUCUCAUACUGGUGUGCUUGAGGAAGGCAGAGGCAAGUGGAAUUACGGGUGUAGCAGUGAAAUGCGUAGAGAUCCGUAGGAACACCAAUGGCGAAGGCAGCUUGCUGGGCCUUAUCUGACGCUGAGACACGAAAGCGUGGGGA
This 245-nucleotide ribosomal RNA is filed under the name uncultured Laribacter sp. RNAcentral's name for it is "partial 16S ribosomal RNA". It matches the Rfam family "Bacterial small subunit ribosomal RNA", at positions 524 to 767 of the family's 1533-position model. Lineage: Bacteria; Pseudomonadati; Pseudomonadota; Betaproteobacteria; Neisseriales; Aquaspirillaceae. The record is from RNAcentral.